Molecule: small RNA, 36 nt
Filed under: unclassified sequences
Description: NAD+-I sequence
Rfam family: nadA riboswitch
Source: Rfam by way of RNAcentral
GCUUUCAACAUCCCCGUCCAUCAUUGGACUGAAGGC